Molecule: ribosomal RNA, 300 nt
Filed under: uncultured Sulfophobococcus sp.
Lineage: Archaea; Thermoproteati; Thermoproteota; Thermoprotei; Desulfurococcales; Desulfurococcaceae
Description: bacterial SSU rRNA
Rfam family: Bacterial small subunit ribosomal RNA
Source: RNAcentral
GUUAAGAGCAGGCGAACGGGCGCGGUAAUAGGUGGGGUGGAUGGGUUAAUCGGAAUUGCGUGGCGUAAAGCGGGCGCAGGUGGUUGUGCAAGGCAGAGGUGAAAUCCCCGGGCUUAACCUGGGAAUGGCCGUUGUGACUGCACGGCUAGAGUGUGUCAGAGGGGGGUAGAAUUCCACGUGUAGCAGUGAAAUGCGUAGAGAUGUGGAGGAAUACCGAUGGCGAAGGCAGCCCCCUGGGAUAACACUGACGCUCAUGCACGAAAGCGUGGGGAGCAAACAGGAUUAGAUACCCCAGUAGUC